Molecule: unclassified non-coding RNA, 339 nt
Filed under: soil metagenome
Description: partial contains 5.8S ribosomal RNA, internal transcribed spacer 2, and large subunit ribosomal RNA
Rfam family: 5.8S ribosomal RNA (bases 1-120)
Source: RNAcentral
GAUGAAGAACGUAGCGAAAUGCGAUAAGUAGUGUGAAUUGCAGAAUUUAGUGAAUCAUCGAAUCUUUGAACGCACAUUGCGCCCUUUGGUAUUCCUUAGGGCAUGCCUGUUCGAGCGUCAUCUACACCCUCAAGCACAGCUUGGUGAUGGGCGCCUGUCCCGCCCCCCACGGGGGCGCGGACUCGCCUCAAAUGCAUUGGCGGCCGGCGACCUGGCUUCGAGCGCAGCAGAAACGCGUACUCGGGACCGGGCGCCCGCUCCCAGAAGCCAACCCACCCAGUUUGACCUCGGAUCAGGUAGGGAUACCCGCUGAACUUAAGCAUAUCAAUAAGCGGAGGA